CCUAUUCUUCAGACGUUACUCUUCAUUUUCACCACUCUCAAAUCCUGCCUAUGGGGAGCCGUUACUAUAUCUGGAUCAUGAACCAUGAUUCGAAAUAACAUCUUUGUGUUCUUUUUGUUCUUCCGCUAUGGAUACACCAGAUCAAGCUUUCUGUCGCAUUUAGCUUUGGAUGGUUGUUUCGCUUAAUUGGGCAACAACAACAACAUCAACAAAUUAGAAAAAUUGGCGAAACAUGUUUACAAUUGAAGGGUUAACACUUUUUAGGCUUUCAUGAUAUUAACACCAUUCCUGCUACAGAAUCGAUAGAUGGAUUAGCUCAAGCAAGCUAAGAUCUUCAUCUCCAGGGUCAACCCUUCAGUUAAUAAAUAGAGUAGCAUGUUUCUGUAAAAAGGUCAAGUUACUAUUGUAAAUUUUUUCUUUGUCUCUUAGAUCUGUACGUAUUCAAGGUAACUUUUUUUUAAUGUUUGAAUGCCGGUAUGUGAGAGAGCUUACAUUGUUCAGUAAGAAGUUCAAAGAAAUUGCGUUGCGAGAUAUCUCAUGCGAUUUAAUUAUCUAUUGCAGAUUCAAUGAGGUUGUAUUCACAAUAGAGGUGCAGAGCCGAAAAAGGAACAAUUGUGCUAGCCUGGGCAAUCACUGAAUACUUUGUUUCAUUAACUGCUUUGUUCUGCCAACCAAUAAUAUGAUAUUCAUAUGUUGUUUUUCUCUCUUCACGACAGGUUAUGGUUGCUAUGAGAUUGUGGCACUUGGUACACGAUAUUGUUCCUCAUUCUUUUGAUUACUACAACGUGCAACUUAAAACUAACGAAACAAAGGCAUUAUGCUAUCCAUUUGUGUGUUACUUGUCGUCGAUCUUAACCGCUAUGGCUUUGCGCAGACCACAGAGACUAAGCAGGAACACUAAAAUGUGGUUGUGCUAGAACUGAAGCCACCAUACCUAUCAUGCAGCGAAUAGAUCAAAAUACUUGAGAAAACCUACCCACACACAGAGGAAAGUAACACAAUUGUGCCUUGAAAUAUCAAUAUACGUUGCAAAACUCUAUGAAUUCUCCAUGGGAGCGGGUGAAGAAUAUCUUCCUUUGACUGUCAAUGAUCAGGGAGAUCUCCUUUAUUAUUUAUCGGUGUUAUUCACUGCGUUGAUCUUUCACCCCUUUGAGUUUUCCCCCCGAAAAAAGCCCUGUAGAUAGUAUGUUGUGAAUGUUAGUACAAAUUUAUAAAACGUUU
This is a long non-coding RNA of Papaver somniferum (opium poppy), 1221 nucleotides long. RefSeq lists it as uncharacterized. Lineage: Eukaryota; Viridiplantae; Streptophyta; Magnoliopsida; Ranunculales; Papaveraceae. The transcript has 3 exons. The record is from RefSeq and is a predicted model, not a curated record.